This 400-nucleotide ribosomal RNA is filed under the name uncultured bacterium. RNAcentral describes it as "bacterial SSU rRNA". It matches the Rfam family "Bacterial small subunit ribosomal RNA", at positions 355 to 748 of the family's 1533-position model. The record is from RNAcentral.
UGGGGAAUUUUGGACAAUGGGGGCAACCCUGAUCCAGCAAUGCCGCGUGAGUGAAGAAGGCCUUCGGGUUGUAAAGCUCUUUUGUCAGGGAAGAAACACCGGCUCUAACACAGUCCGGGAAUGACGGUACCUGAAGAAUAAGCACCGGCUAACUACGUGCCAGCAGCCGCGGUAAUACGUAGGGUGCGAGCGUUAAUCGGAAUUACUGGGCGUAAAGCGUGCGCAGGCGGUUAUACAAGACAGGCGUGAAAUCCCCGGGCUUAACCUGGGAAUGGCGCCUGUGACUGUAUAGCUAGAGUGUGUCAGAGGGGGGUAGAAUUCCACGUGUAGCAGUGAAAUGCGUAGAUAUGUGGAGGAAUACCAAUGGCGAAGGCAGCCCCCUGGGAUAACACUGACGCUC